RNAcentral lists this ribosomal RNA (497 nucleotides) under uncultured bacterium. Its description in RNAcentral is "partial 16S ribosomal RNA". It matches the Rfam family "Bacterial small subunit ribosomal RNA", at positions 28 to 507 of the family's 1533-position model. The record is from RNAcentral.
GAUGAACGCUGGCGGCGUGCCUAAUACAUGCAAGUCGAGCGAACGGACGAGAAGCUUGCUUCUCUGAUGUUAGCGGCGGACGGGUGAGUAACACGUGGAUAACCUACCUAUAAGACUGGGAUAACUUCGGGAAACCGGAGCUAAUACCGGAUAAUAUUUUGAACCGCAUGGUUCAAAAGUGAAAGACGGUCUUGCUGUCACUUAUAGAUGGAUCCGCGCUGCAUUAGCUAGUUGGUAAGGUAACGGCUUACCAAGGCAACGAUGCAUAGCCGACCUGAGAGGGUGAUCAGCCACACUGGAACUGAGACACGGUCCAGACUCCUACGGGAGGCAGCAGUAGGGAAUCUUCCGCAAUGGGCGAAAGCCUGACGGAGCAACGCCGCGUGAGUGAUGAAGGCCUUCGGAUCGUAAAACUCUGUUAUUAGGGAAGAACAUAUGUGUAAGUAACUGUGCACAUCUUGACGGUACCUAAUCAGAAAGCCACGGCUAACUACGUG